UCCGGUUUGGCACCGGCAGUCUCCGAUGAGUUACCCCAGGAUCGUUACCCUUUCGGGUUUCUACUACCAACAUGUCAAGCCCUGGUAAGGUUCUUCGCUUAGCAUCGAAUUAAACCACACGCUCCACCGCUUGUGCGGGCCCCCGUCAAUUCCUUUGAGUUUUAGCCUUGCGGCCGUAGUCCCCAGGCGGAAUGCUUAUCGCGUUAGCUGCGGCACAGGAGGGGUCGAUACCCCCUAUACCUAGCACCCAUCGUUUACAGCAUGGACUAC
Molecule: unclassified non-coding RNA, 270 nt
Filed under: uncultured Dehalococcoidia bacterium
Lineage: Bacteria; Bacillati; Chloroflexota; Dehalococcoidia
Description: contains 16S-23S intergenic spacer region
Source: RNAcentral